AGGACGAACGCUGGCGGCGUGCUUAACACAUGCAAGUCGAACGAGAAUCUACUGAAGGAGGAUUCGUCCAACGGAAGUAGAGGAAAGUGGCGGACGGGUGAGUAACGCGUGAGGAACCUGCCUUGAAGAGGGGGACAACAGUUGGAAACGACUGCUAAUACCGCAUGAAGCAUAGGGGUCGCAUGAUCUUUAUGCCAAAGAUUUAUCGCUUCAAGAUGGCCUCGCGUCUGAUUAGCUGGUUGGCGGGGUAACGGCCCACCAAGGCGACGAUCAGUAGCCGGACUGAGAGGUUGAACGGCCACAUUGGGACUGAGAUACGGCCCAGACUCCUACGGGAGGCAGCAGUGGGGAAUAUUGGGCAAUGGGCGCAAGCCUGACCCAGCAACGCCGCGUGAAGGAAGAAGGCUUUCGGGUUGUAAACUUCUUUUAAGAGGGAAGAGCAGAAGACGGUACCUCUAGAAUAAGCCACGGCUAACUACGUG
Molecule: ribosomal RNA, 482 nt
Filed under: uncultured bacterium
Lineage: Bacteria
Description: bacterial SSU rRNA
Rfam family: Bacterial small subunit ribosomal RNA
Source: RNAcentral